AAGGAAUAUUGGUCAAUGGACGCAAGUCUGAACCAGCCAUGCCACGUGAAGGAUGAAGGUCCUCUGGAUUGUAAACUUCUUUUAUCUGGGACGAAAACGGGAUUUUUAUCUCAAUUGACGGUACCAGAGGAAUAAGCACCGGCUAACUCCGUGCCAGCAGCCGCGGUAAUACGGAGGGUGCGAGCGUUAUCCGGAUUUACUGGGUUUAAAGGGUGCGUAGGUGGGCUUAUAAGUCAGUGGUGAAAUCUCCGAGCUUAACUUGGAAACUGCCGUUGAUACUAUAGGUCUUGAAUUAUCUGGAGGUAAGCGGAAUAUGUCAUGUAGCGGUGAAAUGCUUAGAUAUGACAUAGAACACCAAUUGCGAAGGCAGCUUACUACAUAUAAAUUGACGCUGAGGCACGAAAGCGUGGGGAUCAAACA
This 420-nucleotide ribosomal RNA is filed under the name uncultured bacterium. RNAcentral's name for it is "bacterial SSU rRNA". It matches the Rfam family "Bacterial small subunit ribosomal RNA", at positions 356 to 774 of the family's 1533-position model. The record is from RNAcentral.